UUUAGGCGGCCUAGCGCAGGGGUCCCACCUCUUCCCAUCCCGAACAGAGAAGUUAAGCCCUGCAGCGCCGAUGGUACUGGGGUUACACCCGGGA
RNAcentral lists this ribosomal RNA (94 nucleotides) under Algoriphagus pacificus. Lineage: Bacteria; Pseudomonadati; Bacteroidota; Cytophagia; Cytophagales; Cyclobacteriaceae. The record is from RNAcentral.